GUCCCCGCGCUGCUCCCGGCGCUGCUCCGGGCCCUCGCUGGGCGUUCGGAGCGGCCGGGAUCGCCCCGCUCGGGGCAGGGGCACGCCUGGCUCCCAGGGAGGUGUUUGUAAACGUAAUGGGAAGUUCUCCCGUGGAGGGUGGGCGGCCGCAGGUGUGGGGACAUGGAAAGGUUGUUCUCGGCGCUGUAGCCCCGGAAAGACUCCAAAGGGCAAGGGCCGGAAUGGGCCCCUAGAGUUGGGGCUGGUCACUGCGAGAGCUGGAGGCCUCUGGAGGCCCCUGAGUUAUUCUGUGGUUUCAGCACAGCGUGGUAAAGUUCUUUUUGUUACCAAGAAUAAGGUUACAGGCCUCCCUUUGAGGACAAUACAAGCGGUCCGAGACUAGUACUUCUGCUCGAAGCAUUUAAUAUGUGUUGUUUUGAACAUCACAAUAAAAAAUAAAGUGCUUUCCCUCCCCCCCCCCCCUUUAUUUUUUUUUUUUUUCGUUCCAUUGUGGUUUUUUUUGGUGCAGUUAGUGCUCCAUCCUCUUGAAGAAGAGACUUGUAGAUAGUAGAAGGGUAGUGGCUUCGAAGUGAAAGAGUGUAAGUUUAGAUUGGAUAUUAAGAAGAAAUUCUUUACCGUGAGGAAACUGGAACAGGUUUCCCAGAGAAGCUGUGGCUGCCCAGUCUCUGGAAGUGCUUAAGGCCAGGUUGAUGUUCCAGGCUUGGAGCAACCUGGUCUAGCAGAAGGUGUCCCUGCCCAUGGCAGGGGCUUGGAACAGGAAGGUCUGUAAUGUCCUUCCCAACCCAAACGAUUCUGUGGUUGUGUGAGAUCAGUGUAGCUAUGCCAGGCACAAGAGCAGUUUCUUGGAAUCUAAACAGAGGAGUUCGUGCAUGAAUUUGGUUCUUGCGGCUGGAAAUGAAUGAACAAACUUAAACCUACCUCAUUUCCCUGCACACGAAGUGGUUUUGUCUCAGUGGGAUGGUGACUUGCAGGUCUGGUAACAUGAUCUCACAACCAGAGCCCGGUCUGAGUAGUUCCUGUGGCACACCUGCUGUCCAGGUGGGUAUCUGUUCCUGCCUCUUGUUCUCCAUGAGCAGGACCAGAAAACUAUUUAUGCUGUUAAUUUCUGCCACUUCAGCUUUUUGAAUUGGCUCCCCUGGGCCAAAUGAGAAUUGGUUCUGAUGGAGGGGAACAGAUGGGAAUGUAGCACCUUCCAAUUUAGUUUAAUUUAUACUCCCAGCAAAGCUACUCUUGGGUGCAGUUUUAUGUGUUAAAACUCUACAUUGUUCCCUUUACAAAUAGCAGCAAGAGAUUUAGGGUACAGUUCUUAAAAUUUUGAGUGGUAGAGGGGAGGAAAAAAUCUAAGUGGAUCAAGAUGUGUCUUUUUACAGCUGUUCAUUAAAUUUUUACAGAAACUCCUGCAAGAUGAAUUAGUCCUUCACUGGAAGUCUUUGGUUUAAUACUCUUUUACCCCUUAAAGACUGCUGAAACCUUAAAUUCGGACUUUGUACAUACAUUUUCACUACAAAUUAACAUCUGCCUUCUCUUAGUGAUUUGAAAUCAUGAGUUUCCGGUGUGUUCUGUUGCGAAAGAGAUGCAAACUCUGUUUUUGUUGGUGCAUUGCUGAAGGAGACAUGCAGGGUGUGUGUCCCUAAGGUUGAGAUCAGGAAGCUGUGGAAAUGGAGUAUGAAAUAUGUCAAUGAAUGGUUAUAUAAAAUAAAAGGAGGAUCUUCCUUCAUCUCCAAGUUCUGUGGCUAUUUCAUGGAGCAGUAGAGGAAGAAUUUCAGUCUUCUGGCAAUGCCCAUUUUCAGAUAGUCAUUCCCAUACUCCUGGAAGCCUGGAGUGUUCUCCCCAAGGCAUUGCUGGUGGUAAGGACUGUAACAACUCCUUCCCAAGGGGGAUCAUACUCUGCUGUGCUCAGGGUUGGGUUUCACCCAGGCACAUCUCCUGACUGUGAGGGAUUGCUUGAGUGGCUGGGCUCAGGUAUAUCGAUUCCCUGCUCUCCUAACCAGCAUUCCAGCUGUUCCUGUACUUGUUUUGCCUCUCCUUUGCUGGAAGCAGGCUGCUCUUCACCAGAUGUGCCUUGCAGUUGAUGUAGGUGCAGGGCCUUGUAGCCCUGCCUAGGAAGGCCAAGUUCUCAGCCAAGAGGAACAGAAAGAACAUUCUGUGCUGUGUUCUGUAGCUGUGGCUCGUCAUUCCCCUCCCACAGCCAGCCUGGUAGCCCCGUUCAUUAAAUCUCAUCUUAGGCAUAUUUUCAUAAAAUGGUUUGGGUUGGGUUGGAAGGUGACCUUAAAGAUCAUCUCAUUCCACCCACGUAGUCUGGC
Long non-coding RNA from Corvus hawaiiensis (hawaiian crow), 2303 nucleotides. RefSeq lists it as uncharacterized. Lineage: Eukaryota; Metazoa; Chordata; Aves; Passeriformes; Corvidae. The record is from RefSeq and is a predicted model, not a curated record. The transcript is spliced from 3 exons.